CCUUUUAUUUUUCUCCGUAUCUCAGAGUCCGAGUUUUGCAGGAAACAAAGCGCCGAUCAACUCGGCGUAACGCCUCGACCUUUCAUUAAUAUGUUCUUUAAUUCGGGCUUUAACGUGAUCGACCCACUUCUUCCACUCUGAAGCAUUCAAUUGAUCUCACCAGCUUCUAAAGUAACUGACGGAUGCUCCACCUAUAAAUGUGUAUGCUCCCAGCGAUAAACAGAGUAACUCCCGCAAAUCAGAAAGAACAAUCUCUGUUAAUCACCAUCUCCAACAAUGGCGAGUUCCUCCAUCUUGCUUGCUAAUUUACAAGCUAACCGCUGCUUAGACACUUUUCAGUGAUUGAGAGUAAUGAAUGGCGGGAGACACAUUUAAAGCACUUACAAACCUUGUGUGCUCAUGUUUGUUAGGAAUCGGUGAUAGCUUUCUUUUUCUCUAGCUUAUAGAGAAAGUUUGUAUCAAACAAAUAAUUUUGAAGCUUGCUUUGGACAAUGAUUGAUUGUGGCAUACUCAGGAUGAUCUGCAAGUUGGACUCAAAGACCUACAAGACUUUCUGAAACCAACGUAACAAGUGAAUUCUUACCAGGAUAUUUGAUCGAUAUAGUCAAUAAACACCAGAAGCUAGGACAAGCCUUUUUUACCAUUACAUUAAUGCUGGAACCAUCAGGCCAACAAGACUUGGAGAGCAGUCAAAACUCAUUGAAUUUGGUACAAUGCAUUGUCUCUGUGAUCUUGCUGAUGCACAAGGACAUCAAAGUCAAGGAAGAUAUUAUCACCAUCCAAGUCAGAGAUUGAAUUGGUUCUGCACAACGUUAUCACACUGCAGUCCUCCGAUCUUGACUGUAGACAUAUGAUGAAAACCACAGAAGAGCAACUUAGGAUUGCAUCUAAUAGCUUAAUAAGCUGUGCAACAAUAUAAUGAUUUGUGCUCUCGGUGUAAAAACUAUAUGACUUUCCUUUUUUUUAUUUGGGAAAGCACCAAUUUAAAGUACACAAUUUUGAUAAAGAUAUGACUUUUCUUUGCUUA
Raphanus sativus (radish) is the source of this 1027-nucleotide long non-coding RNA. RefSeq lists it as uncharacterized. NCBI's taxonomy places the organism in Eukaryota, Viridiplantae, Streptophyta, Magnoliopsida, Brassicales, Brassicaceae. The record is from RefSeq and is a predicted model, not a curated record. The transcript is spliced from 6 exons.